Molecule: ribosomal RNA, 570 nt
Filed under: Photobacterium phosphoreum
Lineage: Bacteria; Pseudomonadati; Pseudomonadota; Gammaproteobacteria; Vibrionales; Vibrionaceae
Description: bacterial SSU rRNA
Rfam family: Bacterial small subunit ribosomal RNA
Source: RNAcentral
CCUAACACAUGCAAGUCGAGCGGUAACAGAAAGAAAGCUUGCUUUCUUUGCUGACGAGCGGCGGACGGGUGAGUAAUGCCUGGGAAUAUACCCUGAUGUGGGGGAUAACUAUUGGAAACGAUAGCUAAUACCGCAUAAUCUCUUCGGAGCAAAGAGGGGGACCUUCGGGCCUCUCGCGUCAGGAUUAGCCCAGGUGGGAUUAGCUAGUUGGUGGGGUAAUGGCUCACCAAGGCGACGAUCCCUAGCUGGUCUGAGAGGAUGAUCAGCCACACUGGAACUGAGACACGGUCCAGACUCCUACGGGAGGCAGCAGUGGGGAAUAUUGCACAAUGGGGGAAACCCUGAUGCAGCCAUGCCGCGUGUAUGAAGAAGGCCUUCGGGUUGUAAAGUACUUUCAGUUGUGAGGAAGGCGUUGGAGUUAAUAGCUUCAGCGCUUGACGUUAGCAACAGAAGAAGCACCGGCUAACUCCGUGCCAGCAGCCGCGGUAAUACGGAGGGUGCGAGCGUUAAUCGGAAUUACUGGGCGUAAAGCGCAUGCAGGCGGUCUGUUAAGCAAGAUGUGAAAGCCCG